Molecule: unclassified non-coding RNA, 251 nt
Filed under: Hevea brasiliensis (rubber tree)
Lineage: Eukaryota; Viridiplantae; Streptophyta; Magnoliopsida; Malpighiales; Euphorbiaceae
Source: RNAcentral
GAAAGUUUUGAUGGGGUGUGGUUUUCUUUUAAGACUCAAAGGUCUUGUUUCUGCCGAAUUUUCAUCGGCUGUCCCUUGCCUUUAUGGGUAGGAGAUGACCCGCCUUCCCCCUGCUCGGUUAUGGGUCUCCCUCCCCUCCUUGGGGUGGGGUUGUGUAUAUUUCUUUUGGACUUGCUUUUGUUGCAUGCAGGUGUAGUUUGAUUUGAAGAGGGUCUUGGAGAAACCUGGAUGGUGAUGGAUCUUAUGUGCAG